CCUACGGGAGGCAGCAGUAGGGAAUCUUCCACAAUGGACGCAAGUCUGAUGGAGCAACGCCGCGUGAGUGAAGAAGGGUUUCGGCUCGUAAAGCUCUGUUGUUAAAGAAGAACGUGGGUGAGAGUAACUGUUCACCCAGUGACGGUAUUUAACCAGAAAGCCACGGCUAACUACGUGCCAGCAGCCGCGGUAAUACGUAGGUGGCAAGCGUUAUCCGGAUUUAUUGGGCGUAAAGCGAGCGCAGGCGGUCUUUUAAGUCUAAUGUGAAAGCCUUCGGCUCAACCGAAGAAGUGCAUUGGAAACUGGGAGACUUGAGUGCAGAAGAGGACAGUGGAACUCCAUGUGUAGCGGUGAAAUGCGUAGAUAUAUGGAAGAACACCAGUGGCGAAGGCGGCUGUCUGGUCUGUAACUGACGCUGAGGCUCGAAAGCAUGGGUAGCGAACAGGAUUAGAUACCCUGGUAGUCC
RNAcentral lists this ribosomal RNA (466 nucleotides) under Pediococcus acidilactici. RNAcentral's name for it is "bacterial SSU rRNA". It matches the Rfam family "Bacterial small subunit ribosomal RNA", at positions 338 to 796 of the family's 1533-position model. The record is from RNAcentral. Lineage: Bacteria; Bacillati; Bacillota; Bacilli; Lactobacillales; Lactobacillaceae.